GGUUUCGUGCACUAGAGCCCAUGAACAGAUUGGCGUCGACGAGAUUCACGGCCGCCCUUACUCGAAGCGUCCUUCCCCAGUGCCGCCGCCCAAUCGGCCGCGCCCUGUGCUCCGGCGCGCCGCAGAACGGCGAGAUGGAGGCCGCGGUGCGAGAGGUCGUGUGCUUCGGUUCCGGAAGCCUCGACGAGGUGGGGAGCAGGCUGGACCGCCUGGGCGUGGCCGUCUCGCCGCACCUGAUUGGGCGCGUGAUCGACUCGUGCGGCGAGACGGGCGGAGGCUCCGGCAGGAGGCUGCUGCGCUUUUUGGCGUGGUGCCGGUCCAAGCACUCCGGGGUGUUAGGGGAGGAGGCGCUCGACAGGGCGAUUGGGGUGCUUGCACGGGCUGGGGACCUUACCGCGAUGAGAAUCGCCAUUGCUGAUGCUGAGAAGGACGGGCGGAGGAUGGCUCCCGAGACAUUUUCCACCGUGAUCGACGCACUUGUCAAGGCAGGCAGGGAGGAUGAGGCUGUUCGGCUGUUUAGAGGCUUGGAGAGGCAGAGAUUGCUGCCUGAGUGCGGCAGCAGGGUAGGAGGCCAUGGCGUAUGGUCGAGCAGCCUUGCCAUGGUCCAUGCAUUGUGUAAGAGAGGCCAUGCUCGCGAGGCACAGGGUGUUGUGUGGCACCAUAAGAGCGAGCUCUCGGCAGAACCCAUGGUUAGCAUCGUUGAGCGUAGCCUCCUCCAUGGUUGGUGCGUUCACGGGAAUGCUAAGGAGGCUCGGAAAGUCCUCAAUGAAAUGAAGUCUUCAGGCGUUCCGUUGGGCUUGCCAUCAUUCAAUGAAUUUCUCCAUUGCGUGUGCCACAGAAACCUUAACUUCAAUCCCUCUGCCCUUGUCCCAGAGGCUAUGGAUAUAUUAACAGAGAUGAGGACCUGUGGUGUUCCCCCAGCUGCUUCUAGUUUCAACAUAUUACUUUCAUGUUUAGGCCGAGCAAGAAGAGUGAAAGAAGCUUAUAGAAUCUUGUACUUGAUGAGAGAAGGAAAAGCAGGGUGCUCCCCUGAUUGGGUUAGCUACUAUCUUGUGGUUAGAGUCCUCUAUUUAACAAGGAGAAUUCUUAGAGGGAAGAGGCUUGUAGAUGCUAUGCUUGAAAGUGGAGUUCUUCCUACUGCUAAGUUUUUCCAUGGUCUUAUAGGCAUCCUUUGUGGAACAGAGGAAGUUGACCAUGCUCUUGAUAUGUUCAAACUUAUGAAGAGGUGUGAGUUAGUGGAUGCUCGUAUAUAUGACCUGCUUAUAGAAAAGCUUUGUAGGAUUGGUAGAUUUGAAAUUGGAAGAGAGCUGUGGGAUGAAGCUACAAAUAGUGGUCUUGUAUUAGGAUGCUCACAAGAUCUGCUCGAUCCCUUGAAGACAGAGGUAUUCAGACCAAUCUGUCCAGCACAAAGAUUAAGCCCUCAGAACUAUAAACGCUUGGCCUGGAAAAAGAAGGUUACUGCUGUUGGAGUCAAAAAGGACAUUGCUAUCUCAGCCUCAAGGAAGAAGUCGGGAGUGUAGGAAGCUCGUGCAUCACAAAAGCAAGAAGGCUUGGUGUUCCUACUCCUGUACUUUAUGCUGUGGAUCCACUUCUGCAUACUUUGACAGUAUGUGGAUGGCUUGUCUGUCAAGGAUAUACUUCUUGGUUUUGGUUCAGAUGGGGUUAACGAGGAACGCCUGGAUGAUAUUAGUAUCACACAGAUAGGAAACGUCGUCGGCAAACUACAUGAUGGAGGCCUUGUUCAUGGUGAUUUAGAACUGUAACAAUUAAUUGGUGGUUCUUAUUGAUUUCGGUCUGAGUUUUAUAUAAAUAAUUCCCGAGGGCGAGGACAAAGCGGUGGACCUAUAUGUGCUAGAGAGAGCUUUGAUCUCCAUGCAUUCGUCCCGUGGGGAUGUGGUGAGGAGACUGCAUAAAUUGGCAUCCAAGUUGUCUUUUGCUGAUUAUAUGCAUACAUUGAUUCCUUUAUUCGGUGACUUUAUUUUGGGGAGGCCAAUGACGUAUACGGGUUACGGUUACAUAAGCAGCCAACAAUAUUGGAUUCAUCAGUAAUUGAAAUGUCUGGUCAAUAUUUGGGUUUGCUUGAGCUUGGCUGUUAUUCCGCACUUGGGUCCGACUAAUCUGUGCCAAUGUUUUCUGGCUAUAUACAACACAAAACUAGUCCAUCCGCAUCGUGGAUUUGUUAUUUUUUUCCUUUCGUCCGUGG
Zea mays is the source of this 2203-nucleotide RNA transcript. It is a transcript of the gene named Pentatricopeptide repeat-containing protein pseudogene, with no coding region annotated. The transcript has 3 exons. Lineage: Eukaryota; Viridiplantae; Streptophyta; Magnoliopsida; Poales; Poaceae. The record is from RefSeq and is marked validated.